RNAcentral lists this ribosomal RNA (253 nucleotides) under uncultured bacterium. RNAcentral describes it as "partial 16S ribosomal RNA". It matches the Rfam family "Bacterial small subunit ribosomal RNA", at positions 524 to 776 of the family's 1533-position model. The record is from RNAcentral.
UACGUAGGCAGCAAGCGUUGUUCGGAGUUACUGGGCGUAAAGAGUGCGUAGGCGGUGCUCUAAGUUUGGUGUGAAAUCUCCCGGCUUAACUGGGAGGGUGCGCCGAAAACUGGAGUGCUUGAGUAUGGGAGAGGCAAGCGGAAUUCCUGGUGUAGCGGUGAAAUGCGUAGAUAUCAGGAGGAACACCUGUGGCGAAGGCGGUGCUCUGGGCCGGAACUGACGCUGAGGAGCGAAAGCGUGGGGAGCAAACAGG